This 617-nucleotide ribosomal RNA is filed under the name Lasiodiplodia pseudotheobromae. Its description in RNAcentral is "eukaryotic LSU rRNA". The stretch from base 169 to 322 matches the Rfam family "5.8S ribosomal RNA". The record is from RNAcentral. Lineage: Eukaryota; Fungi; Ascomycota; Dothideomycetes; Botryosphaeriales; Botryosphaeriaceae.
UUCCGUAGGUGAACCUGCGGAAGGAUCAUUACCGAGUUUUCGGGCUUCGGCUCGACUCUCCCACCCUUUGUGAACGUACCUCUGUUGCUUUGGCGGCUCCGGCCGCCAAAGGACCUCCAAACUCCAGUCAGUAAACGCAGACGUCUGAUAAACAAGUUAAUAAACUAAAACUUUCAACAACGGAUCUCUUGGUUCUGGCAUCGAUGAAGAACGCAGCGAAAUGCGAUAAGUAAUGUGAAUUGCAGAAUUCAGUGAAUCAUCGAAUCUUUGAACGCACAUUGCGCCCCUUGGUAUUCCGGGGGGCAUGCCUGUUCGAGCGUCAUUACAACCCUCAAGCUCUGCUUGGAAUUGGGCACCGUCCUCACUGCGGACGCGCCUCAAAGACCUCGGCGGUGGCUGUUCAGCCCUCAAGCGUAGUAGAAUACACCUCGCUUUGGAGUGGUUGGCGUCGCCCGCCGGACGAACCUUCUGAACUUUUCUCAAGGUUGACCUCGGAUCAGGUAGGGAUACCCGCUGAACUUAAGCAUAUCAAUAAGCGGAGGAAGAUCAUUACCGAGUUUUCGGGCUUCGGCUCGACUCUCCCACCUUUGUGAACGUACCUCUGUUGCUUUGGCGGC